Molecule: long non-coding RNA, 720 nt
Organism: Astatotilapia calliptera (eastern happy)
Lineage: Eukaryota; Metazoa; Chordata; Actinopteri; Cichliformes; Cichlidae
Source: Ensembl
CUCUCACAGAGCGGGUGUGGAAGGCUUUAGAAUAAAAGUACAGUAGUACUGUCAGCAUCAAACCGCUCUGAACCCAGACACACAGCAGCUUCGUGGCGCUUUUCUUUCACGUCCCGCUAUGUCCUCAGACAGUACCAUGGACUUGGACUUGGAGCUUGGUGAGUUGCUCCAGGAGUUCCAGGAUGUGGUGGAGGAGCUGAAGGCCCCUUCUCAAAGCAGACCGCAUGCUUACCAGAAAGCAUUGCACGAGGCCAAAACUCUCACAGGGCUGAGUGAAGACAGUGGAGUCGAGGACUCAGAUUACAGCAGUGAACCAUCUAUGGGGAACAGUUUGAAUACCAGUGAGGAGGAGCUCCACACAGCAGGAAUAACGCUGGCAUCAAAAGAGCUACACAGAAAGCAUCUGCAAUGCCCUGGAAUCUGUCUUGGUUUACACAACAAAGCAACUUCCACUGUGGCUGUGACGUCUCAGCGCUCUUCUUUCAAAGCUCCUGGGUGGAGUCAUUUGUGCUGUUAUAUGCAGUGAUGAGACCGGCUCUUGGCUGCGUGCGCAUGUGGAUUAAUGAGUGCUGUUGCAGUUGCAUCCACAGACUACUGUUAAAGUUAAACAUCAGCCAAGCUGGGAGACACAAGGGAUCUUGAGAGUUUUAUCGACAUGUUGGACCGGGAACUUGCUGAGAUGUGAACAGAGAGCAAAAGUGAGCUACGUACAAUAAUGGG